Molecule: ribosomal RNA, 429 nt
Filed under: Gemmatimonadota bacterium
Lineage: Bacteria; Pseudomonadati; Gemmatimonadota
Description: Gemmatimonadetes bacterium partial 16S ribosomal RNA
Rfam family: Bacterial small subunit ribosomal RNA
Source: RNAcentral
UAGGGAAUCUUCGGCAAUGGACGAAAGUCUGACCGAGCAACGCCGCGUGAGUGAAGAAGGUUUUCGGAUCGUAAAACUCUGUUGUUAGAGAAGAACAAGGACGUUAGUAACUGAACGUCCCCUGACGGUAUCUAACCAGAAAGCCACGGCUAACUACGUGCCAGCAGCCGCGGUAAUACGUAGGUGGCAAGCGUUGUCCGGAUUUAUUGGGCGUAAAGCGAGCGCAGGCGGUUUCUUAAGUCUGAUGUGAAAGCCCCCAGCUCAACCGGGGAGGGUCAAUGGAAACUGGGAGACUUGAGUGCAGAAGAGGAGAGUGGAAUUCCGUGUGUAGCGGUGAAAUGCGUAGAUAUAUGGAGGCACACCAGUGGCGAAGGCGGCUCUCUGGUCUGUAACUGACGCUGAGGCUCGAAAGCGUGGGGAGCAAACAGG